RNAcentral lists this long non-coding RNA (1166 nucleotides) under Bos mutus (wild yak). RNAcentral describes it as "lncRNA (ENSBMUG00000016599.1)". Lineage: Eukaryota; Metazoa; Chordata; Mammalia; Artiodactyla; Bovidae. The record is from RNAcentral.
CGAGUCCCCCGGGAGGCUGCGCUCUAGGGAAGUUUCCCACCGGUGGCCCGGAGCAGGACAGGGCGCGCAGCCGACCCUCCCCGCCUGACCAGCUCCGCGGCGCAGACUGCGAACUUGAGCAAAACUCCUUCCUCCCCGCGUCCCUCCCCUCCGGUCCGAGGCCACCAGCCCCGCCAUCUCAGCCCUCAGCCUUCGGUCUGUGCCACGGUCGCCAAGACCUCACCAGAGUGUGGUGGAGAGAAGGGGAGGGGGAAAUCCCCAGCACAACCAAACUGCGGCCAAAAAAAAAAAGAAAUUCCUUCUGAGACCGAUUCCCUCAACGGGUGUGGAAAACCCCAAACAGGCAGGUUGUCAACUGAGAACGAAGAAAACAAGUUCCUGGUCUCUAGCCCAGACCUCAUCCAUCCAAAUGGCCAGAGCCCCUCCACACUGUUCCUUCUGCCCGGGAAUCAGCAUCUAGCAGUCAGGCGUGGGAAGCACUGGCCAGGAACAGCUUCCAGACUGCCCAGUCCCGAGGGUGGCUGCCUGGUGCCAAGAGCAGACCACUCCCAGAGACAGACCCUCUGCUGACUCCAGGCUCACCAGGGUUACUCAGUCCUGAGGCCACUGCGUGCACCAUUAAAAAAAAAGUCCCAGUUCCUCCUGGGACCCCUGACUCAACCUCAGCGCUGCCUGACCCUCAACCUGUCUCUGUCACAUCCUGACUCACCCACCUCCUCCAGGCAGCCCCCCAACAGGCCAGCUGGCAGAUGGGGAAAAGGGUGGUGGUGGAUGCCCCCUUUCCCUAGGAACAUGCACACUCUCACUCCCCUGCCCCCUUCACCACUGUCUCAUUCUCACCGCGGGGCCUUUGCACUUGCUGAUCCCUGUGCCUGGAAUGCUCUUCCCCACCUUCUAAUGUACCACAUGUAAUGUAUGUAUUUUGUAGGCGCUUUUGUUUGUCUGCUCACUGGCGCCUCCUCCGUCCCUGGGAUGGUGCCUGGCACAGAUUCAAUAAGUAUCUGGUGACUGAACGACUGAGCCUGAUCCAGACGCUUCCUCUUCUCUGAACCCAGGGCCCCUCUGGAGAACAAUGGGAGGGGAUGAAGAACAGUGGGGCAAGGACAGGUGGUAUGACUCAUCCAAGGUCACUGGAGGGCCCUUGGUGUAUUCUGGAUUCCGAGCAC